AGUGGUUUUCAUGAAACUAAAAUUAAUUGGCGGCUUUUUAAAUAUUUUAGAGGAAUUUAUUCUGUAAAGGAUUUAACACCAACAAUCUUACUUUUGUUUGUAUUUAAACAAUUUACACACCUCUAUUUUAAAAUAUUUAGAUAUAUUUUAGCAAUACUUUUAUAUGAAGUAGGUUUUUAGGUAAAGGUGUAGUUUAUACAAAGAGAAUGAAAUAAAUGUAUAUUAAUUAUUAUUUAGUAACGAGAUUUGAAUGUAACCUAAAAAUUAAGUAAAACCUCAAAAGUAAAAUUAGUUUACCACGGCGAAUUUGAAUAUAAUUUUAUAAGUGUACAUAUUGCCCGUCGCUCUCUUUUUAGAGAUAAGUCGUAACAUAGUUA
Molecule: ribosomal RNA, 377 nt
Filed under: Phytoseiulus fragariae
Lineage: Eukaryota; Metazoa; Arthropoda; Arachnida; Mesostigmata; Phytoseiidae
Description: partial 12S ribosomal RNA
Source: RNAcentral